GACGAACGCUGGCGGCGUGCUUAACACAUGCAAGUCGAACGAUGAAGAAAAGAAUUGAAGCUUCGGCAGAAAUUCAUUUCGGAUUAGUGGCAGACGGGUGAGUAACGCGUGAGCAACCUACCUCUUACAAAGGGAUAGCCUCGGGAAACCGGGAUUAAUACCAUAUAACAUUGCGACGAAGCAUUUCGAUGCAAUCAAAGCUACGGCGGUAAGAGAUGGGCUCGCGUCCCAUUAACCAGAUGGUGAGGUAACGGCUCACCAUAGUAACGAUGGGUAACCGGCCUGAGAGGGUGAACGGCCACACUGGAACUGAGACACGGUCCAGACUCCUACGGGAGGCAGCAGUGGGGAAUAUUGCACAAUGGAGGGAACUCUGAUGCAGCGACGCCGCGUGAGUGAUGAAGGAAUUCGUUUCGUAAAACUCUGUUCUAUGGGAAGAAAAGGACUGUACCAUAGGAGAAAGCUCCGGCUAAAUACGUG
This 480-nucleotide ribosomal RNA is filed under the name uncultured bacterium. RNAcentral's name for it is "partial 16S ribosomal RNA". It matches the Rfam family "Bacterial small subunit ribosomal RNA", at positions 28 to 507 of the family's 1533-position model. The record is from RNAcentral.